UACGGGGGGGGCAAGCGUUGUUCGGAAUUACUGGGCGUAAAGGGCUCGUAGGUGGCCAACUAAGUCGGACGUGAAAUCCCUCAGCUUAACUGGGGAACUGCGUCCGAUACUGGAUGGCUUGAGUUCGGGAGAGGGAUGCGGAAUUCCAGGUGUAGCGGUGAAAUGCGUAGAUAUCUGGAGGAACACCGGUGGCGAAGGCGGCAUCCUGGACCGAUACUGACGCUGAGGAGCGAAAGCCAGGGGAGCGAACGGG
RNAcentral lists this ribosomal RNA (253 nucleotides) under uncultured bacterium. RNAcentral describes it as "partial 16S ribosomal RNA". It matches the Rfam family "Bacterial small subunit ribosomal RNA", at positions 524 to 776 of the family's 1533-position model. The record is from RNAcentral.